This 445-nucleotide ribosomal RNA is filed under the name uncultured bacterium. RNAcentral describes it as "partial 16S ribosomal RNA". It matches the Rfam family "Bacterial small subunit ribosomal RNA", at positions 354 to 796 of the family's 1533-position model. The record is from RNAcentral.
GUAGGGAAUAUUGGGCAAUGGAGGCAACUCUGACCCAGCCAUGCCGCGUGCAGGAUGACGGCCCUCUGGGUUGUAAACUGCUUUUAUACGGGAAGAAAAAAUACUACGUGUAGUAUAAUGACGGUACCGUAAGAAUAAGGAUCGGCUAACUCCGUGCCAGCAGCCGCGGUAAUACGGAGGAUCCAAGCGUUGUCCGGAUUUAUUGGGUUUAAAGGGUGCGUCGACGGAUCUUUAAGUCAGUGGGUAAAACCUGCAGCUUAACUGUAGAAUUGCCAUUGAAACUGAAGAUCUUGAAUGUGGUUAAAGUAGGCGGAAUGUAUCAUGUAGCGGUGAAAUGCUUAGAUAUGAUACAGAACACCGAUAGCGAAGGUAGCUUGCUGAACCAUUAUUGACGCUGAGGCACGAAAGCGUGGGGAGCGAACAGGAUUAGAAACCCGGGUAGUCC